CGCGUAGGCGGUUUUUUAAGUCAGAUGUGUAAUCCCCGAGCUUAACUUGGGAACUGCAUCUGAGACUGGAAGGCUAGAGUACUGGAGAGGGUGGUGGAAUUCCUCGUGUAGCGGUGAAAUGCGUAGAGAUGAGGAGGAACACCAGUGGCGAAGGCGGCCACCUGGACAGUAACUGACGCUGAGGCGCGAAAGUGUGGGUAGCGAAACAGGAUUAGAUACCCUGGUAGUCCACGCUGUAAACGAUGAACACUUGGUGUGGAGGGAGUUCGACCCCUUCCGUGCCGGAGCUAACGCGUUAAGUGUUCCGCCUGGGGAGUACGGUCGCAAGGCUGAA
RNAcentral lists this ribosomal RNA (334 nucleotides) under uncultured bacterium. RNAcentral describes it as "bacterial SSU rRNA". It matches the Rfam family "Bacterial small subunit ribosomal RNA", at positions 568 to 898 of the family's 1533-position model. The record is from RNAcentral.